GACAGAGGGUGCAAACGUUGUUCGGAAUUACUGGGCGUAAAGGCGCGUAGGCGGCCUGUUAAGUCGAACGUGAAAUCCCCGGGCUCAACCCGGGAACUGCGUCCGAUACUGGCAGGCUUGAAUCCGGGAGAGGGAUGCGGAAUUCCAGGUGUAGCGGUGAAAUGCGUAGAUAUCUGGAGGAACACCGGUGGCGAAGGCGGCGAUCCUGGACCGGGUAUUGACGCUGAGGCGCGAAAGCCAGGGGAGCAAACGGG
This 254-nucleotide ribosomal RNA is filed under the name uncultured bacterium. Its description in RNAcentral is "partial 16S ribosomal RNA". It matches the Rfam family "Bacterial small subunit ribosomal RNA", at positions 524 to 776 of the family's 1533-position model. The record is from RNAcentral.